AGGUGAUUGUGCUUUAGCCAAUCCCUUGUUUGUUACCAUGACAGCCUCUGUUGUUUUGCAGCCUGGUUACCAGAGGUGAUUGUGCUUUAGCCAAUCCCUUGUUUGUUACCAUGACAGCCUCUGUUGUUUUGCAGCCUGGUUACCAGAGGUGAUUGUGCUUUAGCCAAUCCCUUGUUUGUUACCAUGACAGCCUCUGUUGUUUUGCAGCCUGGUUACCAGAGGUGAUUGUGCUUUAGCCAAUCCCUUGUUUGUUACCAUGACAGCCUCUGUUGUUUUGCAGCCUGGUUACCAGAGGUGAUUGUGCUUUAGCCAAUCCCUUGUUUGUUACCAUGACAGCCUCUGUUGUUUUGCAGCCUGGUUACCAGAGGUGAUUGUGCUUUAGCCAAUCCCUUGUUUGUUACCAUGACAGCCUCUGUUGUUUUGCAGCCUGGUUACCAGAGGUGAUUGUGCUUUAGCCAAUCCCUUGUUUGUUACCAUGACAGCCUCUGUUGUUUUGCAGCCUGGUUACCAGAGGUGAUUGUGCUUUAGCCAAUCCCUUGUUUGUUACCAUGACAGCCUCUGUUGUUUUGCAGCCUGGUUACCAGAUGUGAUUGUGCUUUAGCCAAUCCCUUGUUUGUUACCAUGACAGCCUCUGUUGUUUUGCAGCCUGGUUACCAGAGGUGAUUGUGUUUCAGCCAAUCCCUUGUUUGUUACCAUGACAGCCUCAGUUGUUUUGCAGCCUGGUUACCAGAGGUGAUUGUGCUUUAGCCAAUCCCUUGUUUGUUACCAUGACAGCCUCUGUUGUUUUGCAGCCUGGUUACCAGAGGAGAUUGUGCUUUAGCCAAUCCCUUGUUUGUUACCAUGACAGCCUCUGUUGUUUUGCAGCCUGGUUACCAGAGGUGAUUGUGUUUCAGCCAAUCUCUUGUUUGUUACCAUGACAGCCUCAGUUGUUUUGCAGCCUGGUUACCAGAGUUGAUUGUGCUUUAGCCAAUCCCUUGUUUGUUACCAUGACAGCCUCUGUUGUUUUGCAGCCUGGUUACCAGAGGUGAUUGUGCUUUAGCCAAUCCCUUGUUUGUUACCAUGACAGCCUCUGUUGUUUUGCAGCCUGGUUACCAGAGGUGAUUGUGCUUCAGCCAAUCCCUUGUUUGUUACCAUGACAGCCUCUGUUGUUUUGCAGCCUGGUUACCAGAGGUGAUUGUGUUUCAGCCAAUCCCUGGUUUGUUACCGUGCCACAGCAACCAAAGAUGACUUGCUAAAGCAUUCAGAUCAGGCAACCAAGCUAGAUAUUUGGCUAACUCAGUCUUGAUUGUAAAGGAGGCUGGGUAUAAUGGAUGCUUCCAAAUGAUUGUGUGACUUUGAACUACGAUCAGUGUGAACAGAUCAGAUACAGAGAUGGCAUUCCAACUUUACAUAAUAAAACAAUAGCACAAAGCGUUUUAACAUUCAAACAUGUUAAACUAAAUGCAAUAUUCUAAUAACUUCAGUAGUUCAACUACGAUUAUACACGUAACAGAGGGAUAAUGCCUCUAUUCGCUUCAAUGUUUCAUUAUUCUGAAAAGUCCCUGUAGCUGUACAGUGUAAAGUAAUAGAUGUGAAUCAUGCUUAGUUGACAACAAAAAAAAGGAAAGCAGAGUAGAUAAUCAAGUCCAUAUCAUAUAAUCAUAGUCAAUUGAUAAAACGUCUAAGUAGCUUUAAUAAGUUGUUUAAGUGACUUCUGAUUACUAUAC
Molecule: long non-coding RNA, 1706 nt
Organism: Oncorhynchus keta (chum salmon)
Lineage: Eukaryota; Metazoa; Chordata; Actinopteri; Salmoniformes; Salmonidae
Exons: 7
Source: RefSeq, a predicted model, not a curated record